This 451-nucleotide ribosomal RNA is filed under the name uncultured bacterium. RNAcentral's name for it is "bacterial SSU rRNA". It matches the Rfam family "Bacterial small subunit ribosomal RNA", at positions 355 to 796 of the family's 1533-position model. The record is from RNAcentral.
UGGGGAAUAUUGGACAAUGGACGAAAGUCUGAUCCAGCGACGCCGCGUGAGUGAUGAAGGCCUUCGGGUUGUAAAGCUCUGUCAGCAGGGAAGAAUCGGUCGCUAGAAUAAUACCUAGCGGCCUUGACGGUACCUGCGAAGGAAGCACCGGCUAACUCCGUGCCAGCAGCCGCGGUAAUACGGAGGGUGCAAGCGUUGCUCGGAAUUACUGGGCGUAAAGCGUGUGUAGGCGGCCUCGCAAGUCGCGUGUGAAAUCCCGAGGCUUAACCUCGGAACUGCGCCCGAAACUGAAAGGCUAGAGUGCUGGAGAGGGUGGUGGAAUUCCCAGUGUAGAGGUGAAAUUCGUAGAUAUUGGGAGGAACACCAGUGGCGAAGGCGGCCACCUGGACAGACACUGACGCUGAGACACGAAAGCGUGGGGAGCAAACAGGAUUAGAUACCCCCGUAGUCC